This 469-nucleotide ribosomal RNA is filed under the name uncultured bacterium. Its description in RNAcentral is "partial 16S ribosomal RNA". It matches the Rfam family "Bacterial small subunit ribosomal RNA", at positions 29 to 523 of the family's 1533-position model. The record is from RNAcentral.
AACAAACGCUGGCGGCGUGCCUAAUACAUGCAAGUCGAACGAGGUAGCAAUACCUAGUGGCGCACGGGUGAGUAACGCGUGGAUAAUCUGCCUUUGAGUGGGGGAUAACUAGUCGAAAGAUUAGCUAAUACCGCAUAAGACCACAGGAACUGAGGUUCUAGGGGUUAAAGGUUUUUCGCUCAUAGAUGAGUCCGCGUGAGAUUAGCUAGUUGGUGAGGUAAAGGCUCACCAAGGCGACGAUCUCGAACUGGUCUGAGAGGAUGAUCAGUCACACUGGAACUGAGACACGGUCCAGACGCCUACGGGAGGCAGCAGUAGGGAAUAUUGCACAAUGGAGGAAACUCUGAUGCAGCGACGCCGCGUGAGUGAUGAAGGCUUUCGGGUCGUAAAGCUCUGUCGCAGGGGAAUAACACAAUGAAUGUACCCUGUAAGAAAGGAUCGGCUAACUUCGUGCCAGCCGCCGCUGUAA